Molecule: ribosomal RNA, 485 nt
Filed under: Cryptophyllium westwoodii
Lineage: Eukaryota; Metazoa; Arthropoda; Insecta; Phasmatodea; Phylliidae
Description: partial large subunit ribosomal RNA
Rfam family: Bacterial large subunit ribosomal RNA (bases 349-485)
Source: RNAcentral
AUGAUUUAUAUAUUUAAUGGCCGCGGUAUUUUGACCGUGCGAAGGUAGCAUAAUCAUUAGCCUAUUAAUUGUGGGAUAGUAUGAAUGGUUUGACGAAAUAUUAACUGUCUCAUUUUAAUUAUUUAAAAUUUAAUUUUUGAGUUAAAAAGCUUAAAUUUUCUUAAAGGACGAGAAGACCCUAUAGAUCUUUAUUAUUUAUUUUUUUAUAUUUUUUAGUUUAUUUUGUUAUAUUUUUAAUUAUUAUUUUGUUGGGGUGAUGUUAGGAUAUAUUUAACUCCUUUUUUUUUUAUCAUUUAUUUUUGUUUUUUUGAUCUUUUAUUAUUGCUUAUAAGAAUAAGAUACCUUAGGGAUAACAGCGUAAUUCUCUUUGAGAGUUCAUAUUGACAAUGGAGUUUGCGACCUCGAUGUUGAAUUAAGAUUAUUUUUAGGUGAAGUAGCUUAAUUAUUAAGUCUGUUCGACUUUUAAUAUCUUACAUGAUCUGAGU